This 759-nucleotide ribosomal RNA is filed under the name Triticum aestivum (bread wheat). RNAcentral describes it as "partial small subunit ribosomal RNA". The record is from RNAcentral. Lineage: Eukaryota; Viridiplantae; Streptophyta; Magnoliopsida; Poales; Poaceae.
AUGGUGGUCGCGCUCGGUCCGGGCAGGUUCUACGGCGGCGGCCUCCCGCGCCCGCGCGUCUUCCCCGGCGACCGCGUCGACCCGCCGGCGCCCGUCACCGAUGCGCUGCUCUGCUGGGCGCGGGACGCGCACUGGUCCAUGGGCGGGCUCGGCGCCAAGCGCCUCCGCCUGCAGGGCCGCAUCGAGGGCAACCUCGUCAAGCUCCGCCGCACCGCGCGCCGCGACGCCAGGCCCUCCGCCAAGUCCAACCCCAAGGCCUCCAAGGCCAAGGUCCGCGCCGCCGGGCAUGGGCCCGCCCCUGCCACCCUCGACGACGCGCUCGGCUCCGACGACGACGACGACUCCGAGGACGAGGCCGAGGUCGCGGCCCAGGAGAAGGCGAUGCGGCGCGAGGUCGUGGAUGAUGACGAGGACUCCGAGUCCGGCGAGUCCGAUGGCGAGGGGGUGCCGCUCGUCACCAUCGCCGCCGCCGCAAAGCGGAAGCGCGUCAGGAAGCUCUCCGACGAGUUCGACCGCAUCGCCGCCGCGCAGCAGGAGGGCGGCGGGAAGAAGAAGCCCGCGGCCGCGGCUCCGGCCAAGGCGCCGAUGAGGAAGAAGCCUGCUGCUUCUGCUGCGGCGGCUCCUGCUCCGGCCGCUGAGGCACCGGCGAAGAAGUCGCUGAAGAGGAAGGCGGUUGCGCCGGCGGUGAGGACCUCACCGAAGAGGAAGGCUGCUGAGGCGCCGGCGGCAAGGAGGACCUCGCCGAGGUCGAAGCACUGA